UUUACCAAACUCCGCGGUAAAAUUCACAACACUUGGGGGAGUAAUAUAUCAAUCAAAACGAGUCAUUCAAGUAUUCGGAUUUUUUCGAACUCCACGAAAAAUUUCUCACUUGGGGGGUAAUAAAAUAUAAAAAAAAAAUUUCACUCGUUUCAAACCUUGGUCAAAAAAAAAAAAUAAAUCAAUAAAUUUCACUCGUAGCACAAAUGUCGUGCGCAACUCAAUGGGUUGCGCCAGGCUGCGACGCGCAAUCAAAUUGGUUGCGCGCGGUAGGCACGCGACCACUUGAUGACGAACUACGAACCUGAAAUUUUUCGCUUGAAGAAAAUUAAUUAUGAUUUUCACGAGCGAUAAAAUAAAGAUGUAUUCAAUCUUACAUAUACUCAGAAAACAAAAAUUGAACUUUGAUUUGAUCUACUAAACAAAGUUUAAUCAAUUUUUCAUUUAAUUUCUACAAGUAGGAUUAAAGAAAAAAAAAACAAAAAAAAAAAAAAAACUUACUCAAGAACUACGCAAGACAUGAUUUCGUAAUAUGAAUAUGUAGGCAAUCUUUGAUCCGGUCAAAUAACAAUAAAAAAAAAAGAGCUCUUUAAUUUUAUUCAAAACAUAAAAUAGUUCAAAAGUACAUCUUAGAACUUAGAUAGUAAUAUAUACUACUACAAAACCAAUUGAAUUUCGACGCUAUGCCUUCGACACUGUCAAUAGAGUGUCAGUGGAAAAUUGGAUUCCCGUGUUUCUUCGACGCUUUUCAGCGUCCUCACUUAUUGCUGACCCAAAUAAGCGUCCUGAAUAUUAAUCACGUGAUAAGCACAUGCAGCUUGUGAACUUGAACAAAAUUGGGGGAAAAGCCGGAAAUCAUCAAAAUCGUUCCUUUUACUCUCCAAUAACUAAACCCUAGCCUUCACUAAAAUUCUCUCAUCAAUUCAUCGCUCUCCAAAAUUCCAAACCCAGCAACAAAUUAAACUGGAAGAAGCUCUUUGAUUUCAUCAUAUUUGAUCUACCACAAAUUAAGAAACAAAAUUGAUGAUUAUUUCAAUAAUCUAUCUUAAUUUUUUCGACAGCCUUAUUCAGGUAUGUUUUUCUCUCCCUUUAAAGUAUCGAUCUUAAGGGGCUUUUUUUUCCCCAUCUAUUACAUGUUUUAAUUGGUAAUUAAGUGUUUCUCUUUGUUUAAUUUCGUUUUCAAAUAUGUAUUUGCUGAUAUGUUUCAAAUUUAUAUUCAUUCUUUUCAAGAAUUUAGGGGAUUUCAUGACAAGGUAUGUACAUUCCUUUCUAGUUCAUACGUUAAUUGGUUUUCUGCAUAUUUUUUUUUUGAAAUAAAUGAAUAUACUAUGUAUUGGUUUUUCUUUUAAUAGGCUAUGAUUUUCGUUUAUAUGAGUUUGCACUACUUGAAAUUAAUGGAUCUUUGAACAAAUGAUAUUUCUUUUCAAAUUAUUUGUGGGAAUGUUUUUAAAUUUCAGGAUCAUACUUACGGUAGUAAGAUUUGCAUAGUAUCUCUUAGCUAAUUUAUCAUAAUUAUCAACCUUUAGAAUCUUAUAAUGAAAAGUCUAACCCAAAAAUUCCCCACUUAACAUGUAUCGUUGUAAAAGACUGAACCCACUCUGUAAAAUAUACUUUGGUUGUAACUGAACAUAUAUUUUUUAAUAGGUUUAGGAGGGCUAUGAAUGUAUUGAUGUUUGAAUUUUUUCUUGCAUUGUACGAUGCAAAAACUUUACACCCGUGUAAUUUGAUUAAUCAUUUGUACAAAGAAUGAUUUUAGGAUAAGAAAAUGAAUCAGGUUCUUUUAA
Chenopodium quinoa (quinoa) is the source of this 1781-nucleotide long non-coding RNA. RefSeq lists it as uncharacterized. The record is from RefSeq and is a predicted model, not a curated record. The transcript is spliced from 2 exons. NCBI's taxonomy places the organism in Eukaryota, Viridiplantae, Streptophyta, Magnoliopsida, Caryophyllales, Amaranthaceae.